AUUGAACGCUGGCGGCAGGCCUAACACAUGCAAGUCGAGCGGAUGAAGGGAGCUUGCUCCUGGAUUCAGCGGCGGACGGGUGAGUAAUGCCUAGGAAUCUGCCUGGUAGUGGGGGAUAACGUCCGGAAACGGGCGCUAAUACCGCAUACGUCCUGAGGGAGAUAGUGGGGGAUCUUCGGACCUCACGCUAUCAGAUGAGCCUAGGUCGGAUUAGCUAGUUGGUGGGGUAAAGGCCUACCAAGGCGACGAUCCGUAACUGGUCUGAGAGGAUGAUCAGUCACACUGGAACUGAGACACGGUCCAGGCUCCUACGGGAGGCAGCAGUGGGGAAUAUUGGACAAUGGGCGAAAGCCUGAUCCAGCCAUGCCGCGUGUGUGAAGAAGGUCUUCGGAUUGUAAAGCACUUUAAGUUGGGAGGAAGGGCAGUAAGUUAAUACCUUGCUGUUUUGACGUUACCAACAGAAUAAGCACCGGCUAACUUCGUG
RNAcentral lists this ribosomal RNA (484 nucleotides) under uncultured bacterium. Its description in RNAcentral is "partial 16S ribosomal RNA". It matches the Rfam family "Bacterial small subunit ribosomal RNA", at positions 30 to 507 of the family's 1533-position model. The record is from RNAcentral.